Molecule: ribosomal RNA, 556 nt
Filed under: uncultured cyanobacterium
Lineage: Bacteria; Bacillati; Cyanobacteriota
Description: bacterial SSU rRNA
Rfam family: Bacterial small subunit ribosomal RNA
Source: RNAcentral
ACGUGAGCAACCUGCCGUGAAGUGGGGGAUAGCUCGCCGAAAGGCGAAUUAAUACCGCAUGUGGCCAGGAAGGACAUCCUUCCGACGCCAAAGCCGGGGCAACCUGGCGCUUCUCGAGGGGCUCGCGGCCUAUCAGCUUGUUGGUGAGGUAACGGCUCACCAAGGCUAUGACGGGUAGCUGGUCUGAGAGGACGACCAGCCACACUGGAACCGAGACACGGUCCAGACACCUACGGGUGGCAGCAGUCGAGAAUUUUUCACAAUGGGGGAAACCCUGAUGGAGCGACGCCGCGUGGAGGAUGAAGGUUCUCGGAUUGUAAACUCCUGUCAUUAGAGAACGAGGCACACGGUUUAACUGGCCGUGUGUUGAUAGUAUCUGAAGAGGAAGAGACGGCUAACUCUGUGCCAGCAGCCGUGGUAAUACAGAGGUCUCAAGCGUUGUUCGGAUUCAUUGGGCGUAAAGGGUGCGUAGGUGGCGAUGUAAGUCGGAUGUGAAAUCUCCAAGCUUAACUUGGAAACUGCAUUCGAUACUGCGUUGCUAGAGGACUGUAGAGGG